UGAAAACAGCAAAUGUUGACUUAGUGAC
This 28-nucleotide non-coding RNA is filed under the name Rattus norvegicus (Norway rat). The record is from RNAcentral. Lineage: Eukaryota; Metazoa; Chordata; Mammalia; Rodentia; Muridae.